RNAcentral lists this ribosomal RNA (497 nucleotides) under uncultured bacterium. RNAcentral describes it as "partial 16S ribosomal RNA". It matches the Rfam family "Bacterial small subunit ribosomal RNA", at positions 28 to 507 of the family's 1533-position model. The record is from RNAcentral.
GAUGAACGCUGGCGGCGUGCCUAAUACAUGCAAGUCGAGCGAACAGAUGAGGAGCUUGCUCCUCUGACGUUAGCGGCGGACGGGUGAGUAACACGUGGAUAACCUACCUAUAAGACUGGGAUAACUUCGGGAAACCGGAGCUAAUACCGGAUAAUAUAUUGAACCGCAUGGCUCAAUAGUGAAAGACGGUUUUGCUGUCACUUAUAGAUGGAUCCGCGCCGCAUUAGCUAGUUGGUAAGGUAACGGCUUACCAAGGCAACGAUGCGUAGCCGACCUGAGAGGGUGAUCGGCCACACUGGAACUGAGACACGGUCCAGACUCCUACGGGAGGCAGCAGUAGGGAAUCUUCCGCAAAGGGCGAAAGCCUGACGGAGCAACGCCGCGUGAGUGAUGAAGGUCUUCGGAUCGUAAAACUCUGUUAUUAGGGAAGAACAAAUGUGUAAGUAACUAUGCACGUCUUGACGGUACCUAAUCAGAAAGCCACGGCUGACUACGUG